GUAACUAACCUGUUUAUGAGCUUUGAGAAGCUGCAAUUCAGUUUUCAGCCUAAUGAACUAGCUUGUCUCUGGUCUUGAGCAACUGAAGCUUCAACAACUGUUAACAGGGAACUGCGGAUUGGCCUCCGAGUCUUACACUGUUUGAAUCCCAGGGAUCAGAGAUUUGGAAACUACAGACAUUGCAUUUUUUGUCAGAUUUUCCAUGACAGAAAGCACCACAGCUCUCACUAAGCUCAGCAACAUUUUAUGUGAUGCUAUGGGAGAAUAAGUCAUGCUAUUUCAGAAGUGGCUAUAUAUAUAUAGCGAAGACAAUAAUCACUGAUAGAAUUUAAAAAAAAAAAGUAAAUGUUUUUUUGCUCUAGGAGUGUCUUGUGGGACAUACAGAAGUGCCAGAUUGCAGAAAUGUUAUUUUUGCUAAAGCCGCAGCUCCAGGAGUUAUGAGCAAUAUGAAAUAUAUAUAGCUAGCCUUCAGGUGUUAGAAAUGAAGCAUAGAAAUAGCAAAAUAAAGUUGAAAAUAUCUGAAGGUAAAUUAAAACUAUCAUAAAUUCAUAUAUAUAUUUAUAUGCCUCUUCGAGGUCAAUCUGUUGUCUGGUGUUUUUUUUUUUCAUUGUUUUGUUUUGUGUUUUAAUUUGUUGUGUGUGUGUGUUUGUUGUUUUUGUUUUGAACAGAAGUUUUCCGUGGCUUUUGACAUAAAGAUUCUACUAUACACAUGCAGCUCAGGACUUGUAGGAAUUAGACAGUUUAAUGUGCUUUAGCGUACAGCUAGCAUU
Long non-coding RNA from Oxyura jamaicensis (ruddy duck), 770 nucleotides. RefSeq lists it as uncharacterized. The transcript is spliced from 3 exons. Lineage: Eukaryota; Metazoa; Chordata; Aves; Anseriformes; Anatidae. The record is from RefSeq and is a predicted model, not a curated record.